GAGGGUACAGCUCAGUGUUAGAGCGCUUGCUUAGUAUGCACAAGGUCCUGGGUGAAGUCCCCAGUACCUCCA
This 72-nucleotide transfer RNA is filed under the name Camelus bactrianus (Bactrian camel). It matches the Rfam family "tRNA". Rfam says of the family: Transfer RNA (tRNA) molecules are approximately 80 nucleotides in length. The record is from Rfam by way of RNAcentral. Lineage: Eukaryota; Metazoa; Chordata; Mammalia; Artiodactyla; Camelidae. RNAcentral also lists the same sequence under 2 other names.